CAACAUGAGGAUUUGAAGAGACAUCUAAACCAUGGUACCCUGAGAGGGCAGAGAUAGGACCCUGGCCCUUUACAGCAGCCAAUCUCAAAAUCCAGGGCCUUAUUAGACAACGAUUUCUCCUCAGCAGACCUAGGCGGGCAUUUUACAUCUGAUUGGACAGCCCGGUUCAGCACCCAGCGCUUUUCCUAGGAACUGUAGUGCCUAUGGGAUUCUAUGUUUGCUGAUGGCACUCAGACGCCAGGAAAGGAGUGGAUAUCACCUGACUAAGAAGACUCGGAAACGGAAACGCUGCUCACAACAAAACAGGGAGACUCUGGUGGAGGUUCAAGGAAUGUGGAGCAGUCCCUCAUUCCCUGGAGAAAAUGGGAGCAAUGGCGUCCUCUGGUGGUCAUUUAAAGUUCUGCAUGCAAUGUCAAUUUCCUCACUUCCAAAGACUGUUGACCUUGUAUGUGACCCUUCCAAGCAGGUUUGGGAGAUUGAUUCUCAACACAGGUGUCCCUAAUCGGGAACCCAAGUCUCAAGGGCAUUUGUGAUGUCCUAUAUAUAUGUCAGACAUCUGAAAGAGUCAGUACUUCCUUAUUCAUCCGACUGUAUCCAUGAGGCUGUGAUGAGAUACCACGUUGAGUCAGAAAGUAAGCACCAGAUGUAGAUCCUUGGCAAGAUGACUGUAUGGGCUUGGACAUUACCCUGAAAGUAAGGACCAGCAUCUUUCAAUGGUAGUGGGAAGCCUUGGGACUUACUGGAAAGAAGUGGAUGUAGACACCUCAACCUGGGCUUCUUCGUGUUGACUCAUUUUAAUCACCUUGAGCUUGAGUCUGCUGAUUUGGGAGCUUGUGUCUUUCACCCUAAGUCCUUGGUCUCUGUGCGGUUUGUGCCCUGUGUUUCCGGAGCCCCUUCUCUUUUCAGGUAUCUCCCAGGCCACUUGGACUUGCUUUGUUUUGAUUCCUGCCAGCCACAGGAAGAGGACAGAAGACCCCUUCCACUGAAGGCUGUCUCCUGGAAGGUGCACCCGUUACUUCCACAGACAUCUUUUAACUCAGAGCUUUGUGCUUGACCCCUGGUGCCUGCACAGGAGGCUGGGAGAACACCAUCUUCAGCUGAGAGGAGGUGUGCUAGACUAAAAUUCAGUUGCUGAAGAAGGAAGGAGAGGAACGGUGGGUGCUAGCUCGACCUCUCUGCCACCUGUGUUCCCACUGAAAGUGCCUAUCUAAGAACCAGUGUCACCAGUGAGCUAGAGUUAAGUGUAUCCUCCCCCAUGUCCUUGUGAUGUUUGCAGCCUCUUUUCUUACGGUUUCCUCGGCAUCUUGAGAACAGAACUCUGUUUUAUGCACUCUUGUCUUUCUCAUUGUUCUACCCCCCUUUUUUGGUACAGGAGAAAGUGUGUUAAACUUAGCAGUGG
This is a long non-coding RNA of Mesocricetus auratus (golden hamster), 1399 nucleotides long. RefSeq lists it as uncharacterized. Lineage: Eukaryota; Metazoa; Chordata; Mammalia; Rodentia; Cricetidae. The transcript is spliced from 3 exons. The record is from RefSeq and is a predicted model, not a curated record.